This 438-nucleotide long non-coding RNA is filed under the name Populus tremula. Its description in RNAcentral is "long non-coding RNA (PTRE_LNC002707)". The record is from RNAcentral. Lineage: Eukaryota; Viridiplantae; Streptophyta; Magnoliopsida; Malpighiales; Salicaceae.
UAGGGUUUUGCAGAGAAUAUAAUGGUGGUGCAGAGAGAGAGAGAGAGAGAGAGAGAGAGAGAGAGGAAGAACAGAAGAUAAACAAGAAAUUAAGAAAACAAAAGAGUGGGGAGAGGCAAUAAUUAGGAGAUGGACCAGUGUGCAGGCUGUGAGAGAGAACUAACAUGACCUUGUCGGUUGUUUAGCAAGAGUCCCACUGUCUCUCUCUGUUUUCAGUCCCUAAUUUUCAUAACUGUUUUUUUAGUACAAAACCCACAAACCAACCUAACCUGUUCCUCGGAUCGAUGGGUUUCAUGGGUUUGGAUAGGGUGUUAGGAAACACAACUCUCCAAGGCAUCUUUGUUUCUCUUUUCACAUAAAAAUUUAAAAUCUUAACUUCUUUUUUAUAUCUCUACAUCUAUCACACUCUCUUACAUAUAGUGUGAACUUCUGGCGGUG